Vicia villosa (hairy vetch) is the source of this 724-nucleotide long non-coding RNA. RefSeq lists it as uncharacterized. NCBI's taxonomy places the organism in Eukaryota, Viridiplantae, Streptophyta, Magnoliopsida, Fabales, Fabaceae. The transcript is spliced from 3 exons. The record is from RefSeq and is a predicted model, not a curated record.
CAUUGAGCGAGAAAAUGAUUAUUGUCUGUGACGUGUUGCCGGUAUAUUUGUCCGAAACCAAGAACGUGUUGUCGGACCAUUUGGCCAAUAAUCUUUGGCAAAAGAGACACGCUGUGUUAUGUGUCCUGGAAAUACUUGCUCCAAAGUCACUUGCCAAACACUGUCAACUAGGUAGAUUAAUCACAGAACUCUCAUCAAGUGACAGUGUAAACGUACCUUGUGGUUCUGCUUGAGAGAACCCCAACGGUCCUUCUGCUCUUGCUGUCAAGGAAGCAGCCUGGGGUCUUGCUCGCUAUACUGCAAUUAGUCAGGACAAUGGAUUGGUCCCAAUUGUGGAGCCAGAGAUCUUGCUUGAUGGAGAACAUGGAAUUGACAGAACUUUUGAAGUAGCCCAAAAGGUUUGGGCUGAAGUUUUCUACUACCUUGCUGAGAAAAAUGUCCAAUUUGAGGGUAUUCUCCUCAAGCCUAGCAUGGUUACUCCAGGAGCUGAGUCUAAGGACAAAGCCUCUCCUAUAAAACUCGCCGAGUACAACCUCAAUCUCCCCCACACGAGAAUCCUCUCCUAUAAAUGGUAAUCUCUUUCAGUAUAGAUUUUUUCGAAACUACUACACAAGCGCGGAGUGUGGUAUGCUCUCUUGAAUUUCUACACCCAAUGUGUAUUGGAUUGAGUACCAUGUAGCUUAAAUCGAUAGACUUUGUUAUCAUGAUGCAUUUCUUGAUAGAA